CCUACGGGUGGCAGCAGUGGGGAAUAUUGCACAAUGGGGGAAACCCUGAUGCAGCGACGCCGCGUGAGUGAAGAAGUAUUUCGGUAUGUAAAGCUCUAUCAGCAGGGAAGAAAAUGACGGUACCUGAUUAAGAAGCCCCGGCUAACUACGUGCCAGCAGCCGCGGUAAUACGUAGGGGGCAAGCGUUAUCCGGAUUUACUGGGUGUAAAGGGGGCGUAGACGGCAGCACAAGUCUGGAGUGAAAUGCCCGGGCUUAACCCCGGAACUGCCUUGGAAACUGUGCAGCUAGAGUGCAGGAGAGGUACGUGGAAUGCGUGGUGUAGCGGUGAAAUGCGUAGAUAUUAGGAAGAACACCAGUGGCGAAGGCGGCUUACUGGACUGUAACUGACGUUGAGGCACGAAAGCGUGGGGAGCAAACAGGAUUAGAUACCCGUGUAGUC
This 440-nucleotide ribosomal RNA is filed under the name uncultured bacterium. RNAcentral's name for it is "partial 16S ribosomal RNA". It matches the Rfam family "Bacterial small subunit ribosomal RNA", at positions 338 to 795 of the family's 1533-position model. The record is from RNAcentral.